GCCAUAGCUCAGUGGUAGAGCAUCUGCUUUUCAUGCAGAAGUCCCAGGUUCAUUCCUUGGAAUCUCCA
Podarcis lilfordi (Lilford's wall lizard) is the source of this 68-nucleotide non-coding RNA. NCBI's taxonomy places the organism in Eukaryota, Metazoa, Chordata, Lepidosauria, Squamata, Lacertidae. The record is from the annotation of a GenBank genome assembly.